RNAcentral lists this ribosomal RNA (503 nucleotides) under uncultured bacterium. RNAcentral describes it as "partial 16S ribosomal RNA". It matches the Rfam family "Bacterial small subunit ribosomal RNA", at positions 30 to 523 of the family's 1533-position model. The record is from RNAcentral.
AUUGAACGCUGGCGGCAGGCUUAACACAUGCAAGUCGAGCGGGGUGAUGGUGCUUGCACUAUCACUUAGCGGCGGACGGGUGAGUAAUGCUUAGGAAUCUGCCUAUUAGUGGGGGACAACAUCUCGAAAGGGAUGCUAAUACCGCAUACGUCCUACGGGAGAAAGCAGGGGAUCACUUGUGACCUUGCGCUAAUAGAUGAGCCUAAGUCGGAUUAGCUAGUUGGUGGGGUAAAGGCCUACCAAGGCGACGAUCUGUAGCGGGUCUGAGAGGAUGAGCCGCCACACUGGGACUGAGACACGGCCCAACAUCCUACGGGAGGCAGCAGUGGGGAAUAUUGGACAAUGGGGGGAACCCUGAUCCAGCCAUGCCGCGUGUGUGAAGAAGGCCUUAUGGUUGUAAAGCACUUUAAGCGAGGAGGAGGCUCUUUUGGUUAAUACCCAAGAUGAGUGGACGUUACUCGCAGAAUAAGCACCGGCUAACUCUGUGCCAGCAGCCGCCGUAA